UGGUAAGUCAUGUCUUAAAAUAUGUUAUAGUCAAUGUAAUAAAACUGAAGAAAGCAUAGUUUGUAUUGAUUUUUUUUUUUGGUUUUUAACUAAGUUUACUUGUGGUUUAUUAUUAUUUGUUUCUUUUUGUGUACUAUAUUUUGUUAAUAUUUAUUACAUAGUUUUAAACUCAUGCUUUACAGGAAAAUUGAUUGUUAUUAAUAUUUCUUAUUAAUAUUUAAAUGCGAUUUUGUGUAGUGAUGAAACUAAACCUGCAAGUGAUUGGACAGAACACAAGGCCCCAGAUGGCCGAUCCUACUAUUAUAAUUCAGUUACCAAACAAAGUUCAUGGGAGAAACCUGAUGAGCUCAAAUCUAAAACUGAAAUCCUUUUAGAUCAGUGUCCAUGGAAAGAGUACAAGUCAGAUACAGGUGCUACAUACUAUCAUAACCUCAACACUAAAGAGUCUAGUUGGACAAUUCCUCCAGAACUUGAUGACUUGAAAAAAGAAA
This is a long non-coding RNA of Daktulosphaira vitifoliae (grape phylloxera), 491 nucleotides long. RefSeq lists it as uncharacterized. The record is from RefSeq and is a predicted model, not a curated record. NCBI's taxonomy places the organism in Eukaryota, Metazoa, Arthropoda, Insecta, Hemiptera, Phylloxeridae. The transcript is spliced from 2 exons.